GGGCCCGUGGUCUAGCUGGCUAUGACGUCGCCUUGACGCGGCGAAGGUCCCCGGUUCGAAUCCGGGCGGGCCCA
Molecule: transfer RNA, 74 nt
Filed under: Candidatus Altarchaeales archaeon
Lineage: Archaea; Nanobdellati; Candidatus Altarchaeota; Candidatus Altarchaeia; Candidatus Altarchaeales
Description: Candidatus Altiarchaeales archaeon tRNA-Val
Rfam family: tRNA
About the family: Transfer RNA (tRNA) molecules are approximately 80 nucleotides in length. Their secondary structure includes four short double-helical elements and three loops (D, anti-codon, and T loops).
Source: RNAcentral